RNAcentral lists this ribosomal RNA (1270 nucleotides) under Bacillus pumilus sxm20-2. Its description in RNAcentral is "partial 23S ribosomal RNA". It matches the Rfam family "Bacterial large subunit ribosomal RNA", at positions 1 to 1267 of the family's 2925-position model. Lineage: Bacteria; Bacillati; Bacillota; Bacilli; Caryophanales; Bacillaceae. The record is from RNAcentral.
AUGGUUAAGUUAGAAAGGGCGCACGGUGGAUGCCUUGGCACUAGGAGCCGAUGAAGGACGGGACGAACACCGAUAUGCUUCGGGGAGCUGUAAGCAAGCUUUGAUCCGGAGAUUUCCGAAUGGGGAAACCCACUGCUCGUAAUGGAGUAGUAUCCAUACUUGAAUACAUAGAGUAUGAGAAGGCAUACCCGGGGAACUGAAACAUCUAAGUACCCGGAGGAAGAGAAAGCAAAUGCGAUUCCCUGAGUAGCGGCGAGCGAAACGGGAACAGCCCAAACCAAGAGGCUUGCCUCUUGGGGUUGUAGGACACUCUAUACGGAGUUACAAAGGAACGAUAUAAGCGAAGAGGUCUGGAAAGGCCCGCCAAAGAAGGUAACAGCCCUGUAACUGAAAUGUUGUUCUCUCCAGAGUGGAUCCUGAGUACGGCGGAACACGUGAAAUUCCGUCGGAAUCCGGGAGGACCAUCUCCCAAGGCUAAAUACUCCCUAGUGACCGAUAGUGAACCAGUACCGUGAGGGAAAGGUGAAAAGCACCCCGGAAGGGGAGUGAAAUAGAUCCUGAAACCGUGUGCCUACAAGUAGUCAGAGCCCGUUAAAGGGUGAUGGCGUGCCUUUUGUAGAAUGAACCGGCGAGUUACGAUCCCGUGCAAGGUUAAGCAGAAGAUGCGGAGCCGCAGCGAAAGCGAGUCUGAAUAGGGCGCAUGAGUACGUGGUCGUAGACCCGAAACCAGGUGAUCUACCCAUGUCCAGGGUGAAGUUCAGGUAACACUGAAUGGAGGCCCGAACCCACGCACGUUGAAAAGUGCGGGGAUGAGGUGUGGGUAGGGGUGAAAUGCCAAUCGAACCUGGAGAUAGCUGGUUCUCUCCGAAAUAGCUUUAGGGCUAGCCUCAAGGUAAGAGUCUCGGAGGUAGAGCACUGAUUGGACUAGGGGCCCCUACCGGGUUACCGAAUUCAGUCAAACUCCGAAUGCCGAUGACUUAUCCUUGGGAGUCAGACUGCGAGUGAUAAGAUCCGUAGUCGAAAGGGAAACAGCCCAGACCGCCAGCUAAGGUCCCAAAGUAUACGUUAAGUGGAAAAGGAUGUGGAGUUGCUUAGACAACCAGGAUGUUGGCUUAGAAGCAGCCACCAUUUAAAGAGUGCGUAAUAGCUCACUGGUCGAGUGACUCUGCGCCGAAAAUGUACCGGGGCUAAACGUAUCACCGAAGCUGCGGACUGUUCUUACGAACAGUGGUAGGAGAGCGUUCUAAGUGCUGUGAAGUCAGACCGGAAG